GUGGGAGCGGGCUUGCUCGCGAAUGCGGCGUGUCAGUAUCGGAUGUGCUGACUGAUACACCGUAUUCGCGAGCAAGCCCGCUCCCAC
RNAcentral lists this non-coding RNA (87 nucleotides) under Pseudomonas lurida. Lineage: Bacteria; Pseudomonadati; Pseudomonadota; Gammaproteobacteria; Pseudomonadales; Pseudomonadaceae. The record is from RNAcentral.